Dromiciops gliroides (monito del monte) is the source of this 478-nucleotide long non-coding RNA. RefSeq lists it as uncharacterized. The record is from RefSeq and is a predicted model, not a curated record. Lineage: Eukaryota; Metazoa; Chordata; Mammalia; Microbiotheria; Microbiotheriidae. The transcript has 3 exons.
CUGUUAUAAUAGUUAGAUGUUGAUUACAAUGUAAUUCUUUACAUGUUAUUAAUUAAAAGGGUAUCCUUGGUGCAUAAGUGAUGAAGAGAGGUCCAGAAAUUGUUCCAGCCCCACAGUUACAAUGUCCUUUGCAUCACCCCUGAAAAGUAAGAAAUUGCCCUGGAAUGGAACUGUACGAAAGAAGAGACACUACAAAUUGCAGCCAAUGUGGAAGAAAGUCCAGAGGCCUAAAGUGAUGGAACAGGAGCCCGAAGAGACAAAGGCCUUCCUAUUCCCCAAGACACAACAAUACUGAAAUUACGCCAAUGAAGAACCCUAAAAUGGCCCUUAAGCGUUCAAAUGAAAGGAAGAGCCAACCAAUGCAGCAAACUUCCUUGUCUUAUAAGCAAUUGCUACAGCCACCCCAACCCUCGGCAGCCACCAGCUUGAGCAGUCAGCAGUCAUCAACAUCGACGCAGGACCCUCCACCAGCAAAAAG